Molecule: ribosomal RNA, 407 nt
Filed under: uncultured Thermomonosporaceae bacterium
Lineage: Bacteria; Bacillati; Actinomycetota; Actinomycetes; Streptosporangiales; Thermomonosporaceae
Description: partial 16S ribosomal RNA
Rfam family: Bacterial small subunit ribosomal RNA
Source: RNAcentral
UGGGGAAUAUUGCGCAAUGGGCGAAAGCCUGACGCAGCGACGCCGCGUGGGGGAUGAAGGCCUUCGGGUUGUAAACCCCUUUCAGCAGGGACGAAGCGAAAGUGACGGUACCUGCAGAAGAAGCGCCGGCUAACUACGUGCCAGCAGCCGCGGUAAUACGUAGGGCGCAAGCGUUGUCCGGAAUUAUUGGGCGUAAAGAGCUCGUAGGCGGUCUGUUGCGUCCGCUGUGAAAACCCAGGGCUUAACCCUGGGCUUGCAGUGGAUACGGGCAGACUAGAGGUAGGUAGGGGAGAAUGGAAUUCCCGGUGUAGCGGUGAAAUGCGCAGAUAUCGGGAGGAACACCGGUGGCGAAGGCGGUUCUCUGGGCCUUACCUGACGCUGAGGAGCGAAAGCGUGGGGAGCGAACA